UCAGGACGAACGCUGGCGGCGUGCCUAACACAUGCAAGUCGAGCGAGUAAAUCUCCUUCGGGAGUGAAGCUAGCGGCGGACGGGUGAGUAACACGUGGGCAACCUGCCUCAUAGAGGGGAAUAGCCUUCCGAAAGGAAGAUUAAUACCGCAUAAGAUUGUAGCUUCGCAUGAAGUAGCAAUUAAAGGAGCAAUCCGCUAUGAGAUGGGCCCGCGGCGCAUUAGCUAGUUGGUGAGGUAACGGCUCACCAAGGCGACGAUGCGUAGCCGACCUGAGAGGGUGAUCGGCCACAUUGGGACUGAGACACGGCCCAGACUCCUACGGGAGGCAGCAGUGGGGAAUAUUGCACAAUGGGGGAAACCCUGAUGCAGCAACGCCGCGUGAGUGAUGACGGCCUUCGGGUUGUAAAGCUCUGUCUUCAGGGACGAUAAUGACGGUACCUGAGGAGGAAGCCACGGCUAACUACGUG
RNAcentral lists this ribosomal RNA (468 nucleotides) under uncultured bacterium. Its description in RNAcentral is "bacterial SSU rRNA". It matches the Rfam family "Bacterial small subunit ribosomal RNA", at positions 24 to 507 of the family's 1533-position model. The record is from RNAcentral.